ACUGUGAAGUCACAAGAGGCCCUGAGCUCUGUGGGCCCCAGGUGCCCCGGGAAAACUUGGGGGAGAAUGGGCAUCCCACCCCAGCACUUUCUAGGAAGAAGGGCAGCAUUUUGAAGGGCUGGAAGUAGAGGAAGGAGGUUGCGGGUAGAAGACUCCAUACUUUCUGUGACGCCUAUUCCUUAGGAAUCAAGGCUAUCUGUAAUCACAGGGCUAUUUGAAAAAGAGAAGAAAAGGUGUCUUGAAAUUCAACCAACAUGUUUCAAUUAUUUGCUCCUAAGAACAACAGAAGUUUCAACAUUCUGCCAACAGAGUAACUCCUGGAAGAUUGGCACAGAAGAAGGCACAAGGUAAAUACCCAUCUCUGUACACCCCGUGCUACCAUGUCAUGUGCUGCUCCAGGCAACUCCAAUGGAUUGGCCACCCUGGCCAGUGAUAACACAUAAAAAUUCCACUCAGUAUUGGGACCAAUAGAUAAUGAACACAGUCAGUGGAAUUCCUUCGCAGGCUUCUUCAAGAUAUUCUGCAAGACUGAUUUCCCUUCUUCUUGCCAAGAUUUUUUCCUCCUUCUUCUAGGAAGUCAGUGAUAAAAAUAUUUAAGCAGCUUUGUCUGCCUUAGACCUUCCAACUAAAAGUACAGCAAGUGGAAUGGAAUGCUAAUAUGAGGAUCCAAAUUUUCAGGGAAGGAGGAGAGCCUUUAUAUAACCAAAGAUAUUUUUGGACCAUGAAUUCAGAAAUUCUCGGAGCCACCCAUCAGUGCCUGAGCUUCAGUGAGUCCAUAUCCCAUGUCACCCACGGCAAAGGAGACUCUAAGACUUCUGAAGAGUUUCUUGCUUCUUUCCUGUGGGGCAGUGACUCCACUUCCCAGCAGUAAUGGAAUAUCCUGAAUUAGCUACAUUAAUGUUAGAACCAUUUGGACCUCACCCAGGACUUCAACUACAUUAUGAACCCAAAUUUGGCAACUGUCUGCAUCUGAACAACAGAAGUUUCAACAUUCUGCCAACAGAGUAACUCCUGGACGAUUGGCACAGAAGAAGGCACAAGGCAAAUACCCAUCUCUGUACACCCUGUGCUACUGUGUCAUGUGCUGCUCCAGGCAACUCCAAUGGAUUGGCCACCCUGGCCAAUGUGCCCUCCAAACACCAGCACUGAGUAGAAAGAGGCUCUGAUUCAUGAAAUGUGAAUUUAUGACAGUUGCCACUCUUAAAAAAAAAAACAAACAGACAGAACUUGAGCAAUACAUGACUGAUGCAUUCUCAGCCUGCUUCCUGUGUUCCAUCUGUCUUUCUGCCAGUGCAUUCACCCUCCAGUGAAACUUUCUACAUUCCACAUUUUCUAUCAAGAAAAGAAAGAGGUUGUAUUGUGAGGUAAGAGGCACACACACGGACUUCCUUCAGUAGCUGCAAUCCUUGCUAUAGGUCAGGCAUCAAGACAAUUCCACUUUACAGGCCUGGAUUUUGGAGAAAGAAAGGUUCUAGUAUGUUACGUUUAUGUUCCCCUGCUUUCUACAAUCCUGUUCAAAGAGUUGCUGACUUAACCACAGAGAGGAUUCCAGAACCUGAGACACAGAAUAAACUUGAGCAAUCAUAGUCCAUCCACUUCAUUGUCUCAUCAAAAACCAAAGGUCCAGUGAAGCUCUGGAACUCAACGCUGUAAAGGAGCGAAGGAGCUUCUAUACAGAGCCUGGAUGCCUGUCUCCUUAUCCUACUUCAGUGGACUUGACUGCAAUCCGGAUUAUGCUGUUUUCUAAGCAUUUAAAAUAAAAUAAAAAGUAUAAUAGUGUGAUAAGUUCUUUCACAAAGCAAGCAAUCACAUUUAUGUUUCUACUUACAUUUGGGUUUUCCAAAUAUGUGUGUGUGUGUGUGUGUGUGUGUGUGUGUGUGUAUGUAGACUUUAAACAUGGUGCAUCCAUCAUGUUGCACUAAAUCAAAACCACCAAAUAAUGAUGUAGAACUAAUAAAUCAAAACCAUCAAAUAAUGACAUAGAAAUCCAAUUCUCCCACCUUACACCCAUUAAGAUGGCUACU
This 2024-nucleotide long non-coding RNA is filed under the name Homo sapiens (human). Its description in RNAcentral is "PREDICTED lncRNA (TCONS_00067668)". The record is from RNAcentral. Lineage: Eukaryota; Metazoa; Chordata; Mammalia; Primates; Hominidae.